Molecule: long non-coding RNA, 230 nt
Filed under: Capsicum annuum
Lineage: Eukaryota; Viridiplantae; Streptophyta; Magnoliopsida; Solanales; Solanaceae
Description: long non-coding RNA (CANN_LNC001145)
Source: RNAcentral
AUGUAUCUUUCAGCUGUCCUUCUUCGUUCUUAUCUUCUUUCGUUCUAGCUGAACUUUUGAAAUCACGUUAUUUUCUUCAUUGCAUUUUGAGCAUAGGUGGUCUGCAUAUUUGUGUCCUAUCAUUUUGCAAUAUCUUGUUAAUAAUUAUUCUGAAAUAAAUUCUUUUUUAAUUGCUCUUGCGGUUGGUUGUAUUUCUGGAUUGAGUAGUGUCAAAAUCCAUUGUCUAGCUU